AUGAUUGUCAAUGUUAGUGGUUCAUCUUGCAGGAGGAAGGAUAAAUUGCUUGAUAAGCAAAAGAAGAUUCUUUUGGAUAAGAUUGAGAUGGGUGAGAUGCCCACGGGAAGAUGGAAAAAUCAAGCAACCUCAUUGGUCAGACCUGGAGAUACACGUUGGGGCUCUCAUUACACAACUUUAUCUCGCAUUGAAUCAAUGUGGGAUGUAGUGAUAGAAGUUUUGGGCAUUGUUGAGGAGGAUGUGCGUGUUCCAUGUAGGGCAGGAGGUUUGGUUCAUCAAAUGGAGACUUUCAGCUUCGUGUACAUCCUAAAGAUGAUGUUAAAAAUCCUUCGUAUGACGAAUGAUCUAUCUCUUCUAUUGCAAAAGAAGGAUCAAAAUGUUGUUCAGGCUAUGUCAUUGGUUACAGAUGUGAGAACACGUUUGAUAAAUUGGAGAAAUGAUGGUUGGAAGCCACUCUUGGAAGAUGUCAAAGCAUUCUGCACCAAAAAUGAAAUUCCAAUACCAAGUAUGGAUGACACCUUCACAAAAUGGGGGAAAUCAAGAAAAGGUGGAAGAAACAAUGUCACUGCUGAUCAUUUUUCCCGUGUGGACACCUUUUCUAUGUUUCUAUAG
RNAcentral lists this ribosomal RNA (612 nucleotides) under Triticum aestivum (bread wheat). Its description in RNAcentral is "partial small subunit ribosomal RNA". Lineage: Eukaryota; Viridiplantae; Streptophyta; Magnoliopsida; Poales; Poaceae. The record is from RNAcentral.